CCAAUAGCGUAUAUUAAAGUUGUUGUGGUUAAAAAGCUCGUAGUUGAACCUUGGGCCUGGCUGGCCGGUCCGCCUCACCGCGUGUACUGGUCCGGCCGGGCCUUUCCCUCUGUGGAACCUCAUGCCCUUCACUGGGUGUGACGGGGAAGCAGGACUUUUACUGUGAAAAAAUUAGAGUGCUCCAAGCAGGCCUAUGCUCGAAUACAUUAGCAUGGAAUAAUAAAAUAGGACGUGCGGUUCUAUUUUGUUGGUUUCUAGGACAGCCGUAAUGAUUAAUAGGGACAGUCGGGGGCAUCAGUAUUCAAUUGUCAGAGGUGAAAUUCUUGGAUUUAUUGAAGACUAACUACUGCGAAAGCAUUUGCCAAGGAUGUUUUCAUUAAUCAGGAACGAAAGUUAGGGGAUCGAAGACGAUCAGAUACCGUCGUAGUCUUAACCAUAAACGAUGCCAACCAGCGAUUAGCCUGAGUUCCUUAAAUGACUCGGCUAGCAGCUUCCG
This 496-nucleotide unclassified non-coding RNA is filed under the name uncultured Paraglomus. Its description in RNAcentral is "SSU rRNA". It matches the Rfam family "Eukaryotic small subunit ribosomal RNA", at positions 591 to 1092 of the family's 1831-position model. Lineage: Eukaryota; Fungi; Glomeromycota; Glomeromycetes; Paraglomerales; Paraglomeraceae. The record is from RNAcentral.